GCAGGAUAGGUGGGAGGCGUUGAAAAUUUUCUUGCGGGAAGAUUGGAGCCGUUGGUGAGAUACCACUCUAACAAUGCUAGGAUUCUAAUCCUACACCGUUAUCCGGUUAGGGGACAGUUUCAGGUGGUCAGUUUGACUGGGGCGGUCGCCUCCCCAAAGGUAACGGAGGCGUGCAAAGGUUUCCUCAGGCUGGUCGGAAAUCAGUCGUAGAGUGUAAAGGCAUAAGGAAGCUUGAUUGUGAGACCUACAAGUCGAGCAAAGACGAAAGUCGGCCUUAGUGAUCCGACGGUUCCGAGUGGAAGGGCCGUCGCUCAACGGAUAAAAGUUACUCUAGGGAUAACAGGCUGA
This 348-nucleotide ribosomal RNA is filed under the name uncultured eukaryote. RNAcentral describes it as "LSU rRNA". It matches the Rfam family "Bacterial large subunit ribosomal RNA", at positions 2138 to 2485 of the family's 2925-position model. The record is from RNAcentral.